CGGGGGGGUAAGCGUUGUUCGGAAUUACUGGGCGUAAAGGGCUCGUAGGCGGCCAACUAAGUCACACGUGAAAUCCCUCAGCUUAACUGGGGAACUGCGUGUGAUACUGGAUGGCUUGGAUCCGGGAGAGGGAUGGCGGAAUUCCAGGUGUAGCGGUGAAAUGCGUAGAUAUCUGGAGGAACACCGGUGGCGAAGGCGGCAUCCUGGACCGGUAUUGACGCUGAGGAGCGAAAGCCAGGGGAGCAAACGGGAUUAGAUACCCCGGUAGUCCUGGCCCUAAACGAUGAAUGCUUGGUGUAGCGGGUAUCGAUCCCUGCUGUGCCGAAGCUAACGCAUUAAGCAUUCCGCCUGGGGAGUACGGUCGCAAGGCUAG
Molecule: ribosomal RNA, 373 nt
Filed under: uncultured organism
Description: bacterial SSU rRNA
Rfam family: Bacterial small subunit ribosomal RNA
Source: RNAcentral